RNAcentral lists this ribosomal RNA (483 nucleotides) under uncultured bacterium. RNAcentral's name for it is "partial 16S ribosomal RNA". It matches the Rfam family "Bacterial small subunit ribosomal RNA", at positions 29 to 506 of the family's 1533-position model. The record is from RNAcentral.
AUUGAACGCUGGCGGCAUGCUUUACACAUGCAAGUCGAACGGCAGCGCGGGCUUCGGCCUGGCGGCGAGUGGCGAACGGGUGAGUAAUACAUCGGAACGUGCCCAGUAGUGGGGGAUAGCUCGGCGAAAGCCGGAUUAAUACCGCAUACGACCUGAGGGUGAAAGCGGGGGAUCUUCGGACCUCGCGCUAUUGGAGCGGCCGAUGGCAGAUUAGCUAGUUGGUGGGGUAAAGGCCUACCAAGGCGACGAUCUGUAGCUGGUCUGAGAGGACGACCAGCCACACUGGGACUGAGACACGGCCCAGACUCCUACGGGAGGCAGCAGUGGGGAAUUUUGGACAAUGGGCGAAAGCCUGAUCCAGCAAUGCCGCGUGUGUGAUGAAGGCCUUCGGGUUGUAAAGCACUUUUGGCGGGAACGAAAAGGACUGUGCCAAUACCACGGUUCGAGGACGGUACCCGCAGAAUAAGCACCGGCGAACUACGU